CCUACGGGUAGCAGCAGUGAGGAAUAUUGGUCAAUGGCCGGAAGGCUGAACCAGCCAAGCCGCGUGAAGGACGAAGGUGCCAAGCAUUGUAAACUUCUUUUGUCAAGGGACAAAAUCAGGCUCGAGAGCCUGACCGAGGGGACUUGAAGAAAAAGCAUCGGCUAACUCCGUGCCAGCAGCCGCGGUAAUACGGAGGAUGCGGGCGUUAUCCGGAUUUGUUGGGUUUAAAGGGUGCGUAGGCGGACUGUUAAGUCAGCGGUAAAAGCCCGGGGCUCAACCCCGGCGAGCCGUUGAAACUGGGUGACUUGAGUGGGCGAGAGGUAUGCGGAAUGCGCAGUGUAGCGGUGAAAUGCUUAGAUAUUGCGCAGAACUCCGAUUGCGAAGGCAGCAUACCGGCGGCGAUCUGACGCUGAGGCACGAAAGCGUGGGUAUCGAACAGGAUUAGAUACCCGGGUAGUC
RNAcentral lists this ribosomal RNA (459 nucleotides) under uncultured bacterium. Its description in RNAcentral is "partial 16S ribosomal RNA". It matches the Rfam family "Bacterial small subunit ribosomal RNA", at positions 338 to 795 of the family's 1533-position model. The record is from RNAcentral.